UCAAGAACGAAAGUUAGAGGUUCGAAGGCGAUCAGAUACCGCCCUAGUUCUAACCAUAAACGAUGCCAGCCAGCGAUCCGGCUGUGUUCCUCAAAUGACACGCCGGGCAGCUUCCGGGAAACCAAAGCUUUUGGGUUCCGGGGGAAGUAUGGUUGCAAAGCUGAAACUUAAAGGAAUUGACGGAAGGGCACCACCAGGAAUGGAGCCUGCGGCUUAAUUUGACUCAACACGGGAAAACUUACCCGGCCCGGACACAGGAAGGAUUGACAGAUUAAGAGCUCUUUCUUGAUUCUGUGGGUGGUGGUGCAUGGCCGUUCUUAGUUGGUGGAGCGAUUUGUCUGGUUAAUUCCGAUAACGAACGAGACUCUAGCCUACUAAAUAGACGUUCCGAUCAUCUCCGUCGGACGUUCUUCUUAGAGGGACAAGCGGCGUUUAGCCGCACGAGACAGAGCAAUAACAGGUCUGUGAUGCCCUUAGAUGUCCGGGGCCGCACGCGCGCUACAUUGAAGGAAUCAGCGUGUGCUUUCCCUGUCCGACAGGACUGGGUAACCCGUUGAACCUCCUUCGUGCUGGGGAUAGGGGCUUGUAAUUGUUCCCCUUGAACGAGGAAUUCCCAGUAAGCACGAGUCAUAAGCUCGUGUUGAUUACGUCCCUGCCCUUUGUACACACCGCCCGUCGCUACUACCGAUUGAAUGAUUUAGUGAGGUCUUCGGACUGGCGCUCGGAGCGGCCCUCGGGUCGCGCCGGCGUGCCGGAAAGAUGACCAAACUUGAUCAUUUAGAGGAAGUAAAAGUCGWACAAGGUUCC
This 807-nucleotide ribosomal RNA is filed under the name Sinopoda sp. fujian S2073. Its description in RNAcentral is "SSU rRNA". Lineage: Eukaryota; Metazoa; Arthropoda; Arachnida; Araneae; Sparassidae. The record is from RNAcentral.